CCAAUGAGAAGCCGCCUCUCGGGUAUCCUCCAAUGGGCUCCCGUCGGGGACAGCCCCCCCCCGCCCCGCCCUAUAUAAGCAGGCUCCGCCCCUUGGCUCUCGGAGUGUUUGCUGUUCCGCCUCAGGUGUGGGUCUUUGCUGCGGCGUCCACCCCAGCGAGCUCCCUUCGCCGCUGGGAAAACCGGCUGCUUUAUUUUUAAGGUUAGCAGUCAUUCUUGUCCUCAUCUGAGGAAUGGACUCUGGAAGGCGCCGCAUGAUCCCGCGCGGAGUCUAGAGGGUUGCUGCAGUUCCCCUGACGGAAGUGCUGCUGGUCUGGGGGCUCACUGUGGCUCUCCUGAGUGGCGGACCCAACAAUCCCACCAGGACAGGCCAUGAGGACAUGCACUGGCCAGCCCCGCAUCAGCGCGUGGGAUGGCAGCCUUGCUGCCCACGGCAAGAGUUUGCCUCUUGACCUUACAUGGGUUACGUGAACCACACACUGGCUCAUCGUGGAGCAGAGUGGCCAGCGUGCAUGGCCCUGGGAGCCUGGAGGCCAGGAGGAGAGUGGGCACCACGUGAGGAAGAGGGAACACAGCUGCCCCCACCCCAGAUGGUGGCAUUGAGGGACGUCCCCAGUUGAGGCGGCAGCAGCUCCUGCCCACCCCUGCCGCCCACCAAGGCUGCAUUCGAGGAGGAAGCGGCAUGGAGGAGCAGACAGAAGACAAGGAGCACACACAGGCCUCCAGGCCCCUGGGAGCCCCUUAGGGCAGACCUGCUUUCUCAGACCCAACUUCCAGCAAGAUCAGGACCCCAGGGGGUUGCCCCAAAGAGCACCUUUA
Molecule: long non-coding RNA, 818 nt
Organism: Mustela erminea (ermine)
Lineage: Eukaryota; Metazoa; Chordata; Mammalia; Carnivora; Mustelidae
Exons: 4
Source: RefSeq, a predicted model, not a curated record